Cinara cedri is the source of this 759-nucleotide non-coding RNA. The record is from the annotation of a GenBank genome assembly. Lineage: Eukaryota; Metazoa; Arthropoda; Insecta; Hemiptera; Aphididae.
UAAAUACCACUGAAGGAAAUAUUUAAUGGUCAAAUUGUGAUGAGGCUUUCACAAUAACUACAUCCAUCAAUAUAGUAUUUCAAUAGAUACAUAUACAGUAAAAUUCAAAAAGGUUUCAAAACUUAAAAGGCUACGUAAACAACAAACUAUACAACAAUUGGCCGAUCCCAAAUAGUUGGGAUAAAUGCGAAAGAAAAGUCUAACGAUUAUAAACAUUUUAUCUUCGCACGGUAUUAAAUAUUCAAGCAUUUUUACUCGGCUAAAACAAUUAUAUCCGUAUAAAACCUGCAAAUAUAUAAAAACUUGUGAGUAUGAAAGUACUAUACAAAUAACACAACAAUCAUCAGAAAAAUUUGAAAAUUUUAUCAUGUCUAGAAAAUGCUAAUAUUAGUAUUCCGUGAAAAUUACAAGUCUCUUUGAGAUUUCCGAGUCUAGAUUAUUUUUUAAAUCAAUUUACUAUGACAACCACAAAAUCAAAAAUAACGAAACCGUUAAUACCUUAAAAUGUCUCGGUCUUCCUACAUUUUUCUCCGGCUUUUCCCAAUUAUUUAGAAAACUACAAGGAAAAUCCAAACAACAUCACCCGCAUGCACCGACUAAACAAAAUGUACUACACUUGAUGAUCGAAGCAAUACUUAUGUAUGGUAUAGAAGUUGUUAACCGAUUGAAAAAAAACCACACAUCACUGUGUAGUAAAAAAUCAAUCGAAAUAUCUCGUUACUGAAUUUAUAUUUAGUUUGAACGUUCGUAAAAUUCCUA